GAUCUGGUUCAGGACGAACGCUGGCGGCACGCUUAACACAUGCAAGUCGAACGGAGUUUAGAGAGCUUGCUUUUAAAACUUAGUGGCGGACGGGUGAGUAACACGUGAGCAAUCUGCCUUCAGAGGGGGAUAGCAGUUGGAAACGACUGAUAAUACCGCAUAAUAUAGUAGGAUCGCAUGAUUUAACUAUCAAAGAUUUAUCGCUGAAAGAUGAGCUCGCGUCUGAUUAGAUAGUUGGUGAGGUAACGGCUCACCAAGUCGACGAUCAGUAGCCGGACUGAGAGGUUGAACGGCCACAUUGGGACUGAGACACGGCCCAGACUCCUACGGGAGGCAGCAGUGGGGAAUAUUGCACAAUGGGCGCAAGCCUGAUGCCAGCGAUGCCGCGUGAGGGAAGAAGGUUUUAGGAUUGUAAACCUCUGUCUUCAGGGACGAUAAUGACGGUACCUGAGGAGGAAGCUCCGGCUAACUACGUGCCAGCCGCAGC
This 487-nucleotide ribosomal RNA is filed under the name uncultured bacterium. Its description in RNAcentral is "bacterial SSU rRNA". It matches the Rfam family "Bacterial small subunit ribosomal RNA", at positions 15 to 518 of the family's 1533-position model. The record is from RNAcentral.